UACGUAGGGUGCAAGCGUUGUCCGGAAUUAUUGGGCGUAAAGGGCGCGUAGGCGGGCCGCCAAGUUCGAGGUGAAAUCCUCCGGCUCAACCGGAGAACUGCCUCGAAUACUGGAGGCCUCGAGGCGGGUAGGGGCGUGCGGAACUGUGGGUGGAGCGGUGAAAUGCGUUGAUAUCCACAGGAACUCCGGUGGCGAAGGCGGCACGCUGGACCCGAUCUGACGCUGAGGCGCGAAAGCCAGGGGAGCAAACGGG
RNAcentral lists this ribosomal RNA (253 nucleotides) under uncultured bacterium. Its description in RNAcentral is "partial 16S ribosomal RNA". It matches the Rfam family "Bacterial small subunit ribosomal RNA", at positions 524 to 776 of the family's 1533-position model. The record is from RNAcentral.